RNAcentral lists this ribosomal RNA (468 nucleotides) under uncultured bacterium. RNAcentral describes it as "partial 16S ribosomal RNA". It matches the Rfam family "Bacterial small subunit ribosomal RNA", at positions 28 to 507 of the family's 1533-position model. The record is from RNAcentral.
GACGAACGCUGGCGGCGUGCUUAACACAUGCAAGUCGAACGGAAAGGCCCUGCUUUUGUGGGGUGCUCGAGUGGCGAACGGGUGAGUAACACGUGAGUAACCUGCCCUUGACUUUGGGAUAACUUCAGGAAACUGGGGCUAAUACCGGAUAGGAGCUCCUGCUGCAUGGUGGGGGUUGGAAAGUUUCGGCGGUUGGGGAUGGACUCGCGGCUUAUCAGCUUGUUGGUGGGGUAGUGGCUUACCAAGGCUUUGACGGGUAGCCGGCCUGAGAGGGUGACCGGCCACAUUGGGACUGAGAUACGGCCGAGACUCCUACGGUAGGCAGCAGUGGGGAAUACUGCACAAUGGGCGGAAGCCUGAUGCAGCAACGCCGCGUGCGGGAUGACGGCCUUCGGGUUGUAAACCGCUUUCGCCUGUGACGAAGCGUGAGUGACGGUAAUGGGUAAAGAAGCACCGGCUAACUACGUG